CAGCCUCUGGUCGAUGGAAC
This 20-nucleotide small nuclear RNA is filed under the name Arabidopsis thaliana (thale cress). RNAcentral's name for it is "snRNA_18449". The record is from RNAcentral. Lineage: Eukaryota; Viridiplantae; Streptophyta; Magnoliopsida; Brassicales; Brassicaceae.